UUCAUUUAUGUACUACCAAUACAGUUUCGGUUUUUACACGCCUGGUUUAAUGUCAUGUUUUAUCAUUAUGAGAUAUUUUUUACAAUUAUGUAUUGUCUAUAAUAUAUCCAGUGUAACCUACGAUUGCUAUGCAUUACCAUGUAUGCUUUUAACUAUUAGGUACUACCAUGCACUGUUUAGACUUUUACCUUUGUAAACUCAUUACUAUUUUACCUACUUAUCCCUAUUGGCGUUUGUCAUGCCCUUUCUGUAAUGAAUAAAUCUAUUUACUUCAAUUGAUCCAUUGAAUUCAGCAGUGUGCUUCAUCUUAAAGUCCCAAAACUUAGUAUUUCUCAUUCAAAAUUUCGGGGAUGGAGGUGUAUACCAGGUAUUGCCUCAUCUAAAGUCCCACCUUAGCUUUAGUAUAGCAAUUUUCUCAACCUGUCGGGGAUGGAAGCACACAGCUCUAUUACUACCUUAGGUACGCUCUAUACCACUGUGACCUGUCUAAUUGCCUAUGUUUCCCUGUCCCUAUAUAGUGACCAAGUCUACACAGUUUAGGUUGGCUUGCUGCCAUCUAUCCGGGAGCUGCGACCCGCCUUGGGACCUCCCCCUCCCCUCCCCAUAUGUGAGGGACGGGGCGGGUUACUCACUGCGGGUCGACGUCACGCUUACACGGGUAGCGUGCGGCGUCACGUGGUGACGCCGUAUCGCUCCCUUGUUUGUCCAUCUGCGUCCAAUUUGAGGGAGGUGGUUGCUAAGCGCCGAGCGCGUCAUGCUGUUUGGACGCUGGUUCCGCCCCUUCCUCUGUGAUGACGCUGCGUGGCCUUGACGGUCACCAUUGGUCCGCGGCCACUACUUAAUCUCCAGCUGCACUGCUCUGACACUUCAGGAUUUUUUCCUCCUCAUUACACGAUUGCACAUAUCUGGAUUAUCCUCUUUACAUACCUUAGUAGGUAGGUUUAUUUCCACUUUUACUUUAUUAUUCUGACAUUCUUACACAUCCACCUGGACACGGUUUUCCUGGCUUGAUAAUUCAUGCCUUCUAUUCAUACACUUUUUCUUUAUUUGUUUCCCACUUUUAUACAUGGGAAUUUUUUCCCUAUACACAAGCUAUCAACUGAAUUUACCUACUCAUCUCCACAGAUACCUCUGGGAAUGAUUUAUACUAUUAGAUAUAUCACAGAUGAUGACUGAUCAACUUACCUCUUACCUACUCUUUGCUGGUGCCGCCAUUGGACCUCUGGGUUUUACUGUCUCAGCUCCCGGAAAAGAUGCCUUUUACAGCCGCCCCCUACCAUGGAUACCAUCCUAUCAUCAUAAUACUAUGCUAUUAAUAGAUAUCCACAUACUGUAUAUCUGCUCCUGACGAGUGGUACAAACCACGAAACGCGUAGAGCUUCCCUACAUUGAUAUGUCACAGUACAGGCCUUAUUUUUAUCUUGCAAAUUAUUUCUAUGGAUCAACUAUCAUCAUUGUUCAUUUAUGUACUACCAAUACAGUUUCGGUUUUUACACGCCUGGUUUAAUGUCAUGUUUUAUCAUUAUGAGAUAUUUUUUACAAUUAUGUAUUGUCUAUAAUAUAUCCAGUGUAACCUACGAUUGCUAUGCAUUACCAUGUAUGCUUUUAACUAUUAGGUACUACCAUGCACUGUUUAGACUUUUACCUUUGUAAACUCAUUACUAUUUUACCUACUUAUCCCUAUUGGCGUUUGUCAUGCCCUUUCUGUAAUGAAUAAAUCUAUUUACUUCAAUUGA
This is a long non-coding RNA of Rana temporaria (common frog), 1736 nucleotides long. RefSeq lists it as uncharacterized. NCBI's taxonomy places the organism in Eukaryota, Metazoa, Chordata, Amphibia, Anura, Ranidae. The transcript is spliced from 2 exons. The record is from RefSeq and is a predicted model, not a curated record.